UUCGGCGGGGUGCAAUGUGGUGUUUAGGAGCGGCUAUUCGCGCCUUGAGCUCUUGUCCAAGUCCCCCUGACCGGGGCCAUCGCCCAUUGAGGGUGCAAGGCCUGUUGGGUAGGGCUUAGUCUCUGAUCUCGGCGCGUCUGGUCUCCUCCUCGGAGUCGGGUUGCUUGAGAGUGCAGCCCAAAGCGGGUGGUAAACUCCACCUAAGGCUAAAUACUUGCCACGAGACCGAUAGCAAACAAGUACCGUGAGGGAAAGUUGCAAAGAACUUUGAAGAGAGAGUUCAAGAGUGCGUGAAACCGUUUGGAGGUAAACGGGUGGGAGCUCGAAGGUCGAACGGAUGGGGAGGGAUUCAACUUGGCGAGGCGGCUGGUCGGGCUGGGCGGCGCGUGGGCUUCUCGCCCGGUCGUACUCACAAGGUACGGCCGGGUCGGCUGCCCCGCCGCCUGUCUGCGCCGAGUCCGCUCUUGCCUCGUGCAUUUCCCUGUACCCCCUCUCCCAGUAGAACGCCGUGACCGGCUGUCGAGGGGAGCCCAGGAGCUGGGGGAGGCAGCUGCGCGGUCGAAUGUGGGAUUCGUUCCCUGCGACCGGUCUGUCUGUCCUCUCCCGACCGCGGGUCGCUCCCUCCGGCCGAGGAACUUGAGGCGCCCGAGCCCUUACGGGCUUGGGUCGUCCACAGGCGCGCCCACGAACAUUGCGUUGCGAGUCGAACGAACCCAACGGGUAGCGGCGGACGGCCGCGCGCCAGGUCGAAAGAUCGCGCGCGCGGCCGACCCGUGUCUUGCUGCCGUCUGUCAGGGUGCGGACUCUCGCUUUCGCGGCGCUCGGGGUCGACGGCGAGUAGGUCGGUUUCCCACCCGACCCGUCUUGAAACACGGACCAAGAAGUCUAACGCGUGGGCGAGUCUUCGGGGAUCUCAGUAACCCUAUGAAGGCGCAAUAAAAGUAAAGGCGGUGCUUAACGGCCUGCCUGGGUGGGAUCCCCCGUCUUCACGGCGGGGGCGCACCACCGGCCCGUCCUA
RNAcentral lists this ribosomal RNA (1018 nucleotides) under Peridontodesmus sp. MPE04654. RNAcentral's name for it is "partial large subunit ribosomal RNA". It matches the Rfam family "Eukaryotic large subunit ribosomal RNA", at positions 129 to 773 of the family's 3401-position model. The record is from RNAcentral. Lineage: Eukaryota; Metazoa; Arthropoda; Diplopoda; Polydesmida; Cryptodesmidae.